GGGCGGGUAGCGUAGUGGUCAGCGCGUUCCUGAGCGUUUUAUUCAGCGUCUGUUUUCUUUCAGUUACUUUCUCUUCAGCGUUUAGCGAAAGACCUGGGUUCAAAUCCCAGCCCGCCCA
Molecule: non-coding RNA, 118 nt
Organism: Echria macrotheca
Lineage: Eukaryota; Fungi; Ascomycota; Sordariomycetes; Sordariales; Schizotheciaceae
Source: the annotation of a GenBank genome assembly